UACGGAGGGUGCAAGCGUUAAUCGGAAUUACUGGGCGUAAAGCGCACGCAGGCGGUUUGUUAAGUCAGAUGUGAAAUCCCCGAGCUUAACUUGGGAACUGCAUUUGAAACUGGCAAGCUAGAGUCUUGUAGAGGGGGGUAGAAUUCCAGGUGUAGCGGUGAAAUGCGUAGAGAUUUGGAGGAAUACCGGUGGCGAAGGCGGCCCCCUGGACAAAGACUGACGCUCAGGUGCGAAAGCGUGGGGAGCAAACAGG
Molecule: ribosomal RNA, 253 nt
Filed under: uncultured bacterium
Lineage: Bacteria
Description: partial 16S ribosomal RNA
Rfam family: Bacterial small subunit ribosomal RNA
Source: RNAcentral